UGAAGAUGGAAAGAGCCAUUGGGUGU
Molecule: non-coding RNA, 26 nt
Filed under: Homo sapiens (human)
Lineage: Eukaryota; Metazoa; Chordata; Mammalia; Primates; Hominidae
Source: RNAcentral